GUCUACGGCCAUGCCACCCUGAACAAGCCUGAUCCAGAAUGAUCUCAAAAGCUAAGCAGGGUUGGGCGAAGUUAGUACUUGGUUGGGAGACAACAAGACCAGAUAUGCUGUAGGCA
This 116-nucleotide ribosomal RNA is filed under the name Pteropus alecto (black flying fox). Lineage: Eukaryota; Metazoa; Chordata; Mammalia; Chiroptera; Pteropodidae. The record is from RNAcentral.